CGCACAGCAACAAAUCGCUGCAGAGCUGGGUAAAGGGGGCGGAGUAAAGUGUGUGUGCAGGAGAGGAGUCGAGCAGAGAGAGCUGCUUUUUCGUGAAACGGGAGUAAAGUAGUAAACUUACAGGAUCAUAUACAACUACCUACUUUUCAAUCGAUAUCUGCAUCGAUCUACCCACCGUUGUCUCUUGGAUUGCAGCUGAGAUCAGCGCGAACCACGUGUGUCUCAGCUUCCUGAUCUGUUAACUGUGUUUGGAAAGGCUUCUAGCUUAAUCACAGAGUUCUCUCGUUCGUGGGCUCAUCUAAAGGAGCAGAAGAGUCUGUUGGAGCACCAGAGGAACAAUUUCAGCCAUUUAGACUCAGCUCAGCCACUAUAGAGGAAACAAUGUCUUCAACACAAAAGGACCAACAUGGAGCGAGAAAUCAGCGCUCUCAGGAGGCCGACAAACCUCACAGAAGAAAGGGAGAGAAAACAUACAGCUGUGAUGAGUGUGGAAAGUGUUUUACCCGGGCAGAAAACUUAAAAACACACCAAUUCAUCCACAGUGGAGUUAAACCUUACAGCUGUGAUUUGUGUGGAAAGUCAUUUACCCAGCCUGGAGGCUUAAAAACACACCAACUCAUCCACAGUGGAGUUAAAGCAUACAGCUGUGAGUUCUGUGAAAAGUCUUUUACCCAGGCUGGAGACUUAAAAAGACACCAAGUCAUCCACAGUGGAGUUAAAGCGUACAACUGUGAGUUGUGUGGAAAGUCUUUUGCCCUUGCUCAAAGCUUAAAAAAGCACCAACUCAUACACAGUGGAGUUAAAUCUUACAGCUGUGAGUUGUGUGGAAAGUCUUUUACCCUUGCUCAAAGCUUAAAAAAGCACCAACUCAUCCACAGUGGAUUUAAACCUUACAGCUGUGACUUGUGUGGGAAGUCUUUUGCCCGGGCUGGAGGCUUAAAGAAACACCGACUCAUCCACAGUGGAGUUAAACUUUACAGCUGUGACUUGUGUGGAAAGUCUUUUGCCCAGGCUGGAAACUUAAAAACACACCGACUCAUCCACAGUGGAUUUAAACCUUACAGCUGUGACU
Molecule: long non-coding RNA, 1072 nt
Organism: Oreochromis aureus
Lineage: Eukaryota; Metazoa; Chordata; Actinopteri; Cichliformes; Cichlidae
Exons: 3
Source: RefSeq, a predicted model, not a curated record